AUUCUCUUUAAAGAGAGGUUGGGCUAAAUACUGUUCAUUUUGCACAUUCCAUUUCACACUUAAACUAGUUCGUUACUGUUCAUUAACUUGUUUGCAUCGUUUAUCCAUGAAUAUCUCUCCACUGUUCGUUAAAUAUCUCGCAAAUCACGUCUCUAUCCACUUCCUUCCUCGUUCGCUUCUUUUCUCAUUUCUUGGUUUCGUACUAACCUCAAGAACUGCACUCCAAAACGAUAUGAGCAGCAAAGAGAAUCUACUGGCGACAAAGCUCAAGUGGCCAACCCAUCUGAAGGUCACUAUUUAGCAAUUCUCUAUCUGUAUCUAUGUUGUAUGUAUAUGUAUUUUCUUGAUUUCACCAUUCUAACCCUUGUAAAUAUUGUAGAUUCUAACAUAUUGUUGGGUUCUUUUUCUUCACAUACCAUCGAAAAAUUCCAUGCUAGAAUUUUCACUUUAAUAUAUUGGAUUCUUUCUUAAUAAGGAAUUUGAAAAACCUUAAAACUCCCUCAAAUUAAAAAAUCUCUCUUUUUAAUCUUGCAUUCAAUUGAAUUUUCUUCAUUCUAAUCGAUAAUAAAUUUUCCAUUUUCGCAUUAAUCCCUUUUGUUAUUUCAUUUGAUCAAAGUGUUUUUCCUUUUUUUUGAAUGGGUAUGCAGUACUCCAUUAAAAUAAGAAUUUUUUCUUCAUCAUCUUACAUAUUUUGCAUUCAUAUGCACCCAAAUUAUUAUACAUAUGUUUUCAUUCAUGUUUAGAAAAUCUUAAGUUGUUUGGAUGACUCGAAGAUUAAAUAUGCAUUCUUGGAAUUUGUAUUUAUUCAACAAGUAAUUGAUUUAUCUAAGGUUAAUUCAUGUAUGAUUAUUUACAUAGGAAAUGAGAAGUUGGGUUUAAGAAAGGUUUUCUAAUGCAGGGGUUUGCACCUAAGAAUUUUUUCUAUGAUUUAAACAAAGUCCUUGAAUUUUGCUGAGUUUUGAUUCACUUUUCAAUUUUCAUGACUUAGAUGAAGAGAGUUAGUGAAAAUUCUGAAGGAGAAACGAAAUGUUGGGAUUUAAGAAGUUUAGGUGUUUUGAUGGGAUUGGUGAAAACUACAGGAGUUUUGAGACAAUGGGUGGUGGAAAAGAGGGUGUGAUAUUAAAAAUGGAGAAGUGGGUGUUGGAGCAAUGAAUCAAAAUGAUUUCUUUGUUGGAAAUGAGGUUUCUCUAAUUUUGUUGUGUAUUCAAGUCUUCUUCAUGUGAAUGGUGAGAACAAAUGGGACUUUGAUAUCAACAUUGAUUUGAUUUUAAUGAUCAGAAAGAGGAAAAUAGGUUGGAUUUUGAUGUUAGUGUGCCCAAUGUGCCGAACUCUAACAUGAAAGAUGGUGGAAUGGAAAUUGUAUAUGUGAUAAGAGUGUAAAAUAUGAUAUUUUUUCCUUUUAAUUAUUGCAUUAUGCAAUUAUAUUAUGUUAAAAUGCACUCAUUACUCCUAUGUUUUAGGUUGCGUUUUGGUGAAAAAGAUGAAAUUCGGAAAAAACAAGCGAAAAGGGACCAAAAUGAAAGAAAGCGAAAGUUCAGGGACGAAGUUGAAAAUAAUUCAAAGAUGAGAUGACCGAUGGAAUGAUGAUUCAAGAAUGCUAAGGGUCAAUUGGGUGCAAUUAGAAGUCAAAGGAAGUGAAAUAUGAUCAUAACAUAUUCACAUAUCAAUUCCUAAUCAAAAAAGUUGCGCAUCGAUUUUCAGCCUUAUAUUUAGACCUAUUUUUGAUAUGGAAAAUGAUCGAUCUAGAAGAUGAUGUCUGAAUCAGAGUUGUAUCCCUUUGAGAUAUCUUUCAAAUGCAACUUGAAUCAUCUCAAUCGGAUAUCAGAAGGAAAAGUUAUGGCUAAAAUACUAAAAGUUGUCAGGCGGAGAAAAUGACAAUAACCAUGCGGUCGCACUAGCACCUCCAGGGAAUUCCAGAGGCCAAAAUGUUUCUACCAUGUGACUACAACACUUAUAACCAUGCGGUCGCAUGGUUAUUCCUUGAGGCCAAAAUUUAUGUUUCCUUAAUCGACUCAACCACUUAUGGAAACACGGUUUUCACACGUUUUAAACCCUAAUCUCAACCAGAAUGUCUAUUAUUCAUUCUCUAUCACUUUUCUUUGAUUUUUGGCUCAAGAAAUUCAUGGAGAACUAAACUUAUUGGUGAAGCCACGAAGGAACUCGAUUAGAUUUGGGAAUUUUCAUGUCUUUUCUUGCUUAAAUAUGUUCUUUCAUUGUUAAACAAUUCUAGAUUUAGAUUUCUUAUUCUUAUGAACAUGUUUUGAGAUUGGUUUAAUUUGUAUUAAAUUUUCAUGGAUUCUGUUGACGUCAAAAUUCACAAGGCUAAUUUUAAGCCAACUUUAAGAAAAAAGGGAAUUUUUUAUCGAAAGAAAUCACAAAAUAUGUUGAGAAAGUGUAAUUGUGUCAUGAGCUUUUACAUGAAUUCACUUGCCCUUUACAAGAUUUUUGCCCUACUAUUUAUACAUGGUUCCAGCCGAAAUUAUAUCAAAUCAGUCAAAUCAACUAUAGUACCGAGCUCGAAACUCGGGUCGUCGAAUUCUCCUGUGAUUGGUCAACGAGGCAUGUGGACAUGUGUCAAUAUUUUCCCCAGGUAAUGAUGACCUACAAGGGGCUUGAGAAUCAUGGCUUCGGAUUGUCGGUUUUGGGCGGUGAUGACGUCACUUGUGGCAAGUGUAUAUGA
Molecule: long non-coding RNA, 2680 nt
Filed under: Olea europaea subsp. europaea
Lineage: Eukaryota; Viridiplantae; Streptophyta; Magnoliopsida; Lamiales; Oleaceae
Source: RNAcentral